UACGGAGGGUGCGAGCGUUAUCCGGAAUUACUGGGUUUAAAGGGCGCGUAGGCGGCGCAGUAAGUCAGGUGUGAAAGUUUGCGGCUCAACCGUAAAAUUGCUUUUGAUACUGCUGUGCUAGAAUUAGGAUGAGGUCAGCGGAAUGUGGCAUGUAGCGGUGAAAUGCAUAGAUAUGCCAUAGAACACCAAUUGCGAAGGCAGCUGGCUAGACCUAUAUUGACGCUGAGGCACGAAAGCGUGGGGAGCGAACAGG
This 253-nucleotide ribosomal RNA is filed under the name uncultured bacterium. Its description in RNAcentral is "partial 16S ribosomal RNA". It matches the Rfam family "Bacterial small subunit ribosomal RNA", at positions 524 to 776 of the family's 1533-position model. The record is from RNAcentral.